RNAcentral lists this ribosomal RNA (484 nucleotides) under uncultured bacterium. RNAcentral describes it as "partial 16S ribosomal RNA". It matches the Rfam family "Bacterial small subunit ribosomal RNA", at positions 28 to 507 of the family's 1533-position model. The record is from RNAcentral.
GUUGAACGCUGGCGGCAGGCCUAACACAUGCAAGUCGAGCGGAUGAAGGGAGCUUGCUCCUGGAUUCAGCUGCGGACGGGUGGGUAAUGCCUAGGAAUCUGCCUGGUAGUGGGGGAUAACGUCCCGAAACGGGCGCUAAUACCGCAUACGUCCUGAGAGAGAAAGUGGGGGAUCUUCGGACCUCACGCUAUCAGAUGAGCCUAGGUCGGAUUAGCUAGUUGGUGGGGUAAAGGCCUACCAAGGCGACGAUCCGUAGCUGGUCUGAGAGGAUGAUCAGUCACACUGGAACUGAGACACGGUCCAGACUCCUACGGGAGGCAGCAGUGGGGAAUAUUGGGCAAUGGGCGAAAGCCUGAUGCAGCCAUGCCGCGUGUGUGAAGAAGGUCUUCGGAUUGUAAAGCACUUUUAGUUGGGAGGAAGGGCAGUAAGUUAAUACCUUGCUGUUUUGACGUUACCAAAAGAAUAAGCACCGGCUAACUACGUG